This 253-nucleotide ribosomal RNA is filed under the name uncultured bacterium. RNAcentral describes it as "partial 16S ribosomal RNA". It matches the Rfam family "Bacterial small subunit ribosomal RNA", at positions 524 to 776 of the family's 1533-position model. The record is from RNAcentral.
UACAGAGGUGGCGAGCGUUAUUCGGAAUUAUUGGGCGUAAAGGGCGCGUAGGCGGCUUGACAAGUCCCGGGUGAAAUCCCUCGGCUCAACCGAGGAACUGCCUUGGAAACUGUCUGGCUUGAGGCCGGGAGAGGGUAGUGGAAUUCCCAGUGUAGCGGUGAAAUGCGUAUAUACUGGGAGGAACACCGGUGGCGAAGGCGGCUACCUGGACCGGUUCUGACGCUGAGGCGCGAAAGCGUGGGUAGCAAACAGG